UCCGCUCUCUAACUAAAAUGCAAACCUUCAAAAGAAAUCGACAACGAAGAAGAAAGGCACAGACCAAACAGCAAAUAUAAACCCUUAAACCUUAAAAUCAAAACCGAUAUUCUACAGUUAAAAGUACUAUCAGAAAAAGCCAUUGUUGCCUAGAAAACCACUAACCUGACCCUCAAUCUACAAUGCAGGUCUGAAAUCUUGCUCUAAAAAUCGUUGACACUGAUAAUUCCUAGGGUUUCCAUUUACUUUUGUUUCUUUGCGUUAAUGAACAAUAAGAGAGCGAUUACAUGACGAGUUUAGACCCGGGUCUCCGCCGCAGCCGAGAUGUCUGGUAGAGACACUGGAAUUCGAGAAAACUGGCAGCUCCCCCAUUCGUAUCGGUCUCUUUGUUCGGCUCGGCCCGAACAUGAUGAUCGGUAUGGAGUGUUUUCUAGAAUCGAAGAAAAAAAUUUGUAUGGCGGCGACUACAGAACUUGGUCUCCACCUCCCGUGAGAAAUCCGGAAAGCGAAAAAUUAGGAAUAGGAGGAAACCGGUGUUUUUCGUGUUUGAACCGGACGAAUGAUCCGGUUCGGUCCGAAACGGGCCGGUAUGUUGAGAUGGGUUUAGUUCAACGAGGUGAGUAUAGUGAAGAGAGAGAUAGGCAGUGGCCAAAACUGUCAGGGUUUAAUGAAUCUUUGUCAGGAAUGGGAAGAGAGUCAACUUUUACGAAGUUCCAAUGGAACAAUUUGUUGGGACAUGAAAAAACCCCAAAUGCUAAUAAAAAAGGAAACAAUCUUGGUGCGUUUAGUGAUUCAAAUGUGGUCCCAAUCUCCAUCACAGUGGAAAGUGGUGGUGGCCCUGCACCUGGUGGGGGCUCAUCAAGAACUUCCUUUAGCCACCUGAUGGACGCUACUGAUAGUAGUAGCAGAAAUUAUGGGCUUAUUGAUGGUGGAUAUCCCUCUUCUUCACCUCUAGGAAAAUUUGAAGUGGGAGAGAAAGAAAAUAGCUUCCUUGACUUAGUUGUGGACAAGUUUGAAGGAAAAACUGAUAUUUAUAAUUUAAGGGAUAAUAUGAUGAAAGAGAGGAGAGUACUAUUAGAAAAUGAGACUUCAUUUGGUGAAGUUGAGAAGGAUUCCAGGAGUUUGAAGUUGAAUGCUGAAAAUCUACAGUACGUAGCAAGGUGCGGUUUUGAAAGACAUGGUGGCGGGGGCGGUGGUAGUGAUGGUAAUGGUUCUUAUGGAGAUGAUUUUGAGAGGUUACCUAUAUCAUACGAAGAAUUGUGUUCUACUGGUAGUUAUUCCCAAAGGCUGCUCAAUCCUGAGGAGGCAUCAGAAAUUAAACUCAGGAGAAAAAGUAGUUUAGAUAUGGAAACAGACAGUGAUGAUAAAAAAAUAAUGUUAUCAUAUGAUUUGAGUCCCUUUGAUGGCUUUGAGGAAAUCCCCUAUUCAACUCAUGGGGAUGGAGAUUGGACUUAUGAAGAUACUAAGCAAUCGCCAUUGUUAGAGAACUCAGGAUGGGGACAGUACCAAGGUGGGAUUGAUGGAAUAAUGAUCGACGGAAUGGGCAUUAAUGGAAACGCCACCUCUCGAAAUUCCUUAUCAUCUAAAUUUUUAACAUUAGCAAAGCAAAGGAAUUCAAGCAAACCUUUUAAGUCUUCUAAAAGAGAUUUAAAGCACAGACUGGGCCCGGUUCAAAGUGUAAAGCAGCGUUUAGGGCCUGCUCUAAAUGUAGGAAAGAGCUUGGGGGUAGCUCCGAUUGUUAAGAAGAAACUUCCUUGGUUUAAAUUACCAAAACGAAAAAUUCUUGACGAUUGUGAACAGAACAUUAAUGCUAAAGGAGUGAUAUCGUCAGAAGUGAAGAAGAAGAGAUAUGCCAAGACGGAGCCACCUGAGGACACUGAGGAAUUCAUGCAGCUUGUGCAAAAUGCUUUCUUGAAGUUUGUCAAACUUUUGAAUGAAAAUUCAUUUAACAGAAGGAAAUACCUGGAGAAAGGAGGAGCUGGCACUCUGAAGUGCAGCAUUUGUUGCAGUGGCUCCAAGGAAUUUGUGGACACAUUAAGCCUGGCACAGCAUGCCUUCAUGUCUUGUAAAAUUGGAUCCAGGUCAGAGCACUUAGGUCUUCAUAAAGCACUUUGUGUGUUGAUGGGAUGGAAAAACACAAAAGUUCUAAAUGGUCAAUGGGUUCGGCAGAUAUUGCCUGAAUCCGAAGCCUCAUCAUUGAAGGAGGACCUUAUCAUCUGGCCUCCAGUUGUUAUCAUCCACAACAGUUCCAUAACAAAUCAUAAUCUAAAUGAACGUAUGAUUGUAAGUAUUGAAGGGCUGAAGGAUAUUCUUAGAGGUAAGUAAACUUUUAUAACACUCUGAUAACAUCCUGAUUCUAAAACUCCGUUACUGAUUGACAUCCUGAUUCUAAAACUCCGUUACUGAUGGAUCACAAAAUCAUUUUCAUCUUCUCCCACAGUCCAAGUAGGAAAAUGUUUUCUUCAAAGUCAUGCUGUUUUACUUGUAAUUGACAAACUUUAUUUCCAAUUUUGCAACACCUCUUAUGAUUUCAAAUCAUUAGUCAUUUUUGAGAUCUUAUUGUUCUUCAUUGUAAUGAUAUCAUAAUGGUUUCCCAAUUCUCCCCAAUUUGGUUAAUUUCAUGUCUUCUUAAGUUAUCUGUGUUUGUACCAAUGAGAUCAAUGGUAGUGACAUUGUCCCCAAAAGCUGUGUUUGUGGGUUAGAACCCCUGUCAUAAUCUAAUUAAUAAAAGGAAAUGUUCUAUUUUUGUUCUUGAAAAUCGUUUUCUUGUGAUUCUUUCACUCAUAUAAGAAUUUGAAGGAGAAUGUGUACUCAGGAUUUCUAUGCAGAGCCAGUGGACUUGUCAUUUGGCAGGUUUCACAUGAAUGGCUUGCUUCAGAAUUGACUUGAUGCACUUCUGCCCUUUACAGCAAGCUUGGUCUUGUGGCCGACCCCAAAAACAAUUUGUAUGGGAUGUGAGCAACGGAUGACCAAUCUCUGUCGUGGGAAGGCUGCAAAUCAGAGUACUAUGGUGGUGAGCUUCAGUGGCACUUUUU
This is a non-coding RNA of Jatropha curcas, 3035 nucleotides long. The record is from RefSeq and is a predicted model, not a curated record. NCBI's taxonomy places the organism in Eukaryota, Viridiplantae, Streptophyta, Magnoliopsida, Malpighiales, Euphorbiaceae.